CCUACGGGGGGCUGCAGUGGGGAAUAUUGGACAAUGGGGGCAACCCUGAUCCAGCCAUGCCGCGUGUGUGAAGAAGGCCCUCGGGUUGUAAAGCACUUUCAGUGAGGAAGAACGCCUGGUGGUUAAUACCCAUCAGGAAAGACAUCACUCACAGAAGAAGCACCGGCUAACUCCGUGCCAGCAGCCGCGGUAAUACGGAGGGUGCGAGCGUUAAUCGGAAUUACUGGGCGUAAAGCGCGCGUAGGUGGCUUGAUAAGCCGGUUGUGAAAGCCCCGGGCUCAACCUGGGAACGGCAUCCGGAACUGUCAAGCUAGAGUGCAGGAGAGGUAGGUAGAAUUCCCGGUGUAGCGGUGAAAUGCGUAGAGAUCGGGAGGAAUACCAGUGGCGAAGGCGGCCUUCUGGACUGACACUGACACUGAGGUGCGAAAGCGUGGGUAGCAAACAGGAUUAGAUACCCUUGUAGUC
RNAcentral lists this ribosomal RNA (465 nucleotides) under Vreelandella stevensii. Its description in RNAcentral is "partial 16S ribosomal RNA". It matches the Rfam family "Bacterial small subunit ribosomal RNA", at positions 338 to 795 of the family's 1533-position model. The record is from RNAcentral. Lineage: Bacteria; Pseudomonadati; Pseudomonadota; Gammaproteobacteria; Oceanospirillales; Halomonadaceae.